RNAcentral lists this small nuclear RNA (92 nucleotides) under Erinaceus europaeus (western European hedgehog). Lineage: Eukaryota; Metazoa; Chordata; Mammalia; Eulipotyphla; Erinaceidae. The record is from RNAcentral.
GUUUUCACCACAUAUCCUAAAAUUGAAAUAAUACAGAGGCCAUUAGCAUGGCUUCUGUGUAAAGAUGAUGUGUAGAUUUGUGGCUAUUUUCC